AGCAGCCGCGGUAAUUCCAGCUCCAAUAGCGUAUAUUAAAGUUGUUGCAGUUAAAAAGCUCGUAGUUGAAUUUCGGGGUCAGUAGAUUGGUCGUGCCACUGGUAUGUACUGGUCUCACUGGCUCCUCCUUCCUGAUGAACCGUAAUGCCAUUAAUUUGGUGUUGCGGGGAGACUGGACUGUUACUUUGAAAAAAUUAGAGUGUUUAAGGCAGGCUAACGCUUGAAUACAUUAGCAUGGAAUAAUGAAAUAGGACGUUCGACCUUAUUUUGUUGGUUUCUAAGAUUGGCGUAAUGAUUAAUAGGGAUAGUUGGGGGCAUUAGUAUUCAAUUGUCAGAGGUGAAAUUCUUGGAUUUAU
This 356-nucleotide ribosomal RNA is filed under the name uncultured Glomeraceae. RNAcentral describes it as "SSU rRNA". It matches the Rfam family "Eukaryotic small subunit ribosomal RNA", at positions 569 to 929 of the family's 1831-position model. The record is from RNAcentral. Lineage: Eukaryota; Fungi; Glomeromycota; Glomeromycetes; Glomerales; Glomeraceae.